GAUGAACGCUGGCGGCGUGCCUAAUACAUGCCAGUCGAGCGAACAGAUGAGGAGCUUGCUCCUCUGACGUUAGCGGCGGACGGGUGAGUAACACGUGGAUAACCUACCUAUAAGACUGGGAUAACUUCGGGAAACCGGAGCUAAUACCGGAUAAUAUAUUGAACCGCAUGGUUCAAUAGUGAAAGACGGUUUUGCUGUCACUUAUAGAUGGAUCCGCGCCGCAUUAGCUAGUUGGUAAGGUAACGGCUUACCAAGGCAACGAUGCGUAGCCGACCUGAGAGGGUGGUCGGCCACACUGGAACUGAGACACGGUCCAGACUCCUACGGGAGGCAGCAGUAGGGAAUCUUCCGCAAUGGGCGAAAGCCUGACGGAGCAACGCCGCGUGAGUGAUGAAGGUCUUCGGAUCGUAAAACUCUGUUAUUAGGGAAGAACAAAUGUGUAAGUAACUAUGCACGUCUUGACGGUACCUAAUCAGAAAGCCACGGCUAACUACGUG
RNAcentral lists this ribosomal RNA (497 nucleotides) under uncultured bacterium. RNAcentral's name for it is "partial 16S ribosomal RNA". It matches the Rfam family "Bacterial small subunit ribosomal RNA", at positions 28 to 507 of the family's 1533-position model. The record is from RNAcentral.